GCAGAAUCGGACAACGUAUUUAAUAUAACAGAAGGAAACUUUGGGGCUCACGCAACAUCUGCAAGCAAUGAAACUGUGACCCAGAAUCCAAAUUGCACCACUGGAUCAGGCAAUGUAUUAAAUAUAACGCAAGGAAGCUUCAGAACAGAAGCAACACUCACCACUGGCAAAGCAGGAGCUCUGAACUUUACUGCCACCAACAAACCUGACAAAGUAUUAAAUGUAACAGAAAGAAA
Heteronotia binoei (common prickly gecko) is the source of this 236-nucleotide long non-coding RNA. RefSeq lists it as uncharacterized. NCBI's taxonomy places the organism in Eukaryota, Metazoa, Chordata, Lepidosauria, Squamata, Gekkonidae. The transcript has 3 exons. The record is from RefSeq and is a predicted model, not a curated record.